CACUUUCUUUCCCAUUUCCUUAACAGAAAAUUCAACUUUCAACUCACACUACAUUAACACAACAAUACAUAAAUAAAACAACGUAAGACCCAUUCUUCUCUCAGCCAUGUCACUCACUGUUAAAAAAUUAGCAAUGUCUCACCUCGUGUCCCUCAACAAAAACGCCUAUAUUCGUGCUUAUCUCCGUGGACUAAUGGUACUAGUCGUUGCAGCUUCUCCGUUUGCGUUGGCCAAACUGGGUCUGGUGAUUCCUCUGAUACGUCUGAUUAGAGGAUGGUGCUGGAAUAAGUCACCAAGAAUUUCAAAGAUGGCAUAAUGGAGGUGGAACUUUCCCCAAGUCAACUUGCAUUGACCCGACUGUGCUAAUAGAGAUGGGUGCCAUAGUUCAUCCAAAAUCUGUUGUUGGUGCAUAUGUUCAUACUGGAUCAGGAACUGUUAUUGGACCUCAUGUUACAAUCAGCCAUUUGACAAAAAUAGGAAUCAUAAUGUAUACUGUUGGAGAAGAACAAAGUUGCAAUGCACAUAGAGGAUCCCUAAGUGGCAUGGAGUACAUAUCAAUAUAUUUUACCAAAAUGUCAAACUCGUUUGUCAUAUAGAGAAAAUCAAUCAACAUGAAGGAGAUGUUUUCAGUGGCUUUUGUAAAUCUGGACUCUAGUGCCAGCUUACUAUAUAUACAUUGCAGUGACUAUCUAUGUAGGAGCCCCCAAAAAAGGGCUUGUGAUGUAAUAUACCUACCUAUUUAGA
Quercus lobata is the source of this 744-nucleotide long non-coding RNA. RefSeq lists it as uncharacterized. The record is from RefSeq and is a predicted model, not a curated record. The transcript has 3 exons. Lineage: Eukaryota; Viridiplantae; Streptophyta; Magnoliopsida; Fagales; Fagaceae.